This is a long non-coding RNA of Chenopodium quinoa (quinoa), 3686 nucleotides long. RefSeq lists it as uncharacterized. The transcript is spliced from 4 exons. NCBI's taxonomy places the organism in Eukaryota, Viridiplantae, Streptophyta, Magnoliopsida, Caryophyllales, Amaranthaceae. The record is from RefSeq and is a predicted model, not a curated record.
CUUAUGAACAGUAGGACAGUGUUCUUCCGGAAUUACCGGUUUUGUCCUUUUUCCCCUUUUCUUCUGUCCUUUUCUCUCUCUUCUUCUUUACUCAUUCUAUCCUUCUUUUCUUUGUCUGAGCUGUUCCCACGCACGCAGAACGGGCUCCCCCACGACGCAUAAAAUCCAGAUCCAGAAAGACGAAGGGCCGGUGGUGGGAAAAGGCCAUUGAAGCUUAUAUUAAGUGUGAAUCUUCUGAAAUUUUGGUUUGAGCUUCAUAAUUUGAGUUUUGAAUUUCGAUGUUAUUGAUGUUGGUUUUUACUGAUUUCGAUUGUGUUAAGGUCUCUGUUCAUUUUUCAUUUCUGAAGUUUUGUGAUUGAUUUUUAUAUCAAUUAUGUGUUUUUUGAUGGAGUGAAUUUGGGUAAUUUUGUUUUGCUUUUGAAUCUUGGUGUCCUGUUGGUUUAAUUAUUUUUUGCAUGUGAUAUUAGGCGAGUUUGAUUGGUUUCGUUUGUUGCUUGAAUUCGUUAAGUGAGCUUGAUUGGGUUCGUAAAGUGUAUUUUUGGGCUUAACAUGUUUUAUUUAGCUGUGUUUUAUUUAGUUGGUGGAUGUUCUGUCUGUAUUAAACCGGCGUUAUGCUUAAAUCUUGCAACUUUAUUCUCACUACUUGCAUGUUUAAGAAACGCUAGGCAAGUAAAAUUAAGUAUACCUGCCAAGAAAAUUCAUUUUGUUUUGGGGUUUUGCAGCUUUUACUUGUACUGUUAUUGUUUUUGUUAUUGUUCAGGUGAUAUUUGAUUUGCAUUUGUUUAUUGUGGUAAGAUUAUCCUAUAAACCCUAAUUAUUUAUAUGGUUCAACCACUAAUUAUUUUCGGGAUUUUAAUUUGUUCAAUAUUCUCCUCGACUAUGUUCAGAGGUGGUGGAGGUCUUCAAUUAUUUGCUCCAUUAGUGAAGUCGAUGAGGAGAGAGAAGCUGUGGAAGCAAGAGAAGGAAGAAGAUCAGAAAAAUAGUGCACUGUCAGAUUUUAAGUUAUUUGCUAAUGUGGGAUAUUGUAAGAAAUUUGGGUAGCAUACAAUUGGUCCUCAUUACCAAGCCAUUUUCCCAUGAGAUAAUGUAAUGUUUUAAUUUUUUUUGUUUUGUAUCUUACAUGUUCAUAUACUCCGUAGGAUACUUUUAAACUACCAACAAUAUUUAUUUUCCGCCUUGCUUUAAGGUUUUUUCCCAUCAAUCACGCACAAAUUUUCAACGUAGGAAUUAUGAACAACAGCAACAUUACGCGCAAAGAGGGAUGAUGCAAAAUCAUCAUCAGCUACAACAUCAGUUUCAACGGCAGCAACAGACAGCAGCAACAUCAACAACAUUUUCAGCAUCAUCAGCAACAAUUGCAGCAGAUACAACAGCAACAGAAUCAGCAGCAGAAGCAGAUGCAGCAGCAGCAACAACAACAGCAGCAAUGGCUUAGGAGGGGUCAGUUAGGGGGUAUAACGGUGGCCGGUGUUGACGAGGUUGAGAAGACAGUGCAGUCCGAAGCAAUUGACACGAGGGUGAAGGGUGUAUGAAUGCCCAAGCAAUUUUGUGGAGGAGAAUCAGAAAUUGGCGGCUAAAUGUUGAGGCCUGUAUCAGUGUUCGAAUUUAGCGAAUCAGUGUUGGAUAACUACAGUCAUCAAUGUGAGAUGCUUUCGGUAAGUAUUUCUCCUCAAUUUCAGUCCAUGCUCUUUUAAAUUCAUCCUCUUUCAUUUUGAUUUUUCGACUGAGAUAGUCCAAGGAGGAGUAAUUCAGGGGAAUGUGAGAAAAAAAAAAACCUAAGGAUUAACAUAAGUUAGCGCGCUAAAUUACUGACAAACAAUCCCAUAGCCUAUUGUUCUGUUUUCUCUUAUUUUAUAAAAAAAUUUGUGAAAAGUUAUUUUUUUCAUGGAAAUUGCAUUUUUUGAUAGAUACUACUGAUUUUACUGGAGUUGGAGUAAAUUAGGUCACAGGGAGUUGGAAAAUAGACAAUUAUGAGUUAUGAAUGAGAUUUAUAGGUUUGAUCCUACCUUUCCAUGUAAUUUUUAUUAUAACAUCCACUCCUAAAGUUAUACAAUUAUUGCUUAUUUAUAGAACGAAAGAAAUCGAGCGAUAAGAUGCAAACUCUUUUAUUCCGAUUCUAUAAAUUCAGCAUUCUUCAUUGAAGCUCAAAGUUCUGUACAAUAUUGAUACUCAUGUUUAUCUCUUUUCGGAUUAUUAUUAUUAAUUGAAUGACUUGGUCGUAUUUAUGAACUCAUGAGAACAUGAUUCUAGGCUUUCUCGAUUAUACUUAGUUAGAAAUCGGUAAUUAUGAUAGUUGUGAACCCUUGUGCCGAAGGAGUUAAAAGCAGCCGGGUGGUUCUUUCUGUUUCCUGUAACCAACAUAUGAGGUAUCUUAUCUUCUUAGUUCUUGUUCUCAUGUUGUUUAUGUAUUAAAGUGAUCUUGUCAAGGUAUAAUAUUUCUUUCUUAUUUUUGAUUUGGAGUGCUGAUAUUAAUUUCAGAUGCAUUGAAAUAUAUAUAUUUUCUGAUUUUUAAUUGAAUUCAUCUUAUGGAAUUUAUAUGUUAGACAAAGUAAUUAACUAUUUUGCUUUUGGAUUUUGUAAAAUUUGCUAAUUUCUAUGGGAAAUACUACGUAUAUGAUCGUUGUGGGCAAUUGUAUCUUUGUACUGGGGCACGUCAAAUAUAUGAUCAUUGUGGGCAAUUUGCCCUGUUCCAUUUCCUUUUCAAUUCCUAUAUCUUUUAUCUAAAUUUUCAAUUAGUUUCUUCCUCCGCACCUAAUCUAAAGAGAAUAAUAAAUCUUUGCCACAAUGUUAGUUUGACCAGUUACUUGAAUUGCCAAAAAAAAAAAUGUAAUAGUUUGGAACAUGAUUUGGGAGAUUUUUGGGAGAAUCGAAGGUGGGUGUUUGGUAUGAUUGGCUUAAAUGUACAUCUAAUACCUAACAUUGCCUAUUAUAAUAAUAUAGUUGUUAAGGGCUGUUAAAGUACAAAUUCUAACUGUUAUAUUUUGUUGUUUGAUGGGUUUUUAGUAUGAGAACUUUAUAGCUUAGAUACAUUAAUAUGCUCUUUUUUCCUCUUUUUCUGGUAACCAAUUAUCAGUAACACCCUCCAUUAUUGUAUAGAAUUGAACGGAAAAAAAUGCUUUGGGGGCUCUGAACUUUUAAAGUUUCUCCUCACAAGUAUUUCCAACUCUGUGAGUAAUUACUGGUUUUUUUAAUUGUGUUUUGGAAGAUAUGCGAGCUCUCGACGAGUUGAGGAAGCUGAAAUUGUUCUUUAAGGAUGAGAGCAGCCAUGGUCUUACAGUUUCGGAUGUCUAUGAACUUAUUCAGCAUGCUGACAAUGUGUUACCGAGGCUGUAAUGUCUAUGAACUUAUAGGUGACUACAAUUACAGGGUUGUUGUAUUCAGACGCGGAAAUAACCUUAAAAGGCCAGAGUUUCAUGUCAUUCUGCACUACUUCAUCAGUGAAUCUUCUGCCAAUAAGCCUCUUUCCAUCUGUAAUUUAUUUCAGUGAAUAAGAAACUAAAUAUAAGUGAUUGACAAAUAUAAUAAUAGCAACUGCAUCAAAUUUUGAAAUCCAAAGUAUAAACGUUUUCAAGAAUAUUGUCACAUAGUAACAGUUAAUGUGCUAUACUCUUAAGACUUAUGGUGUAAUGUGUAUAUCUCAUUCAUUACAGAUCGAUCAUCCUAUUGUUUAGCCACCCUUUAUUACA